UAAACAACUAUAAUCGAGUAGUUCUACUUCUAUACUAUUUUCUUUUUCUUUUUUUCUUUUUUAAGUUGCAGAAGGAACCGGUAUUUGGACCAAUUAGAAAGCCGAGGCGUACUGGUUUUUGGUUUAUAAAUUUGAAUCAUGAAGUUUUUCUGAGUUUUUCAUCUCACUGGUAAAGAGUGCAAAUUGGAGUUACUCAUUUGUUCUUAGCAGAAAAGGAAAAAGAAGAAGUUGAUUACUGAGAAAAGAAAUGGAUUUCUUUCACUUUAGCUGCUGCAUUGCGUUCUGAUCGGAAGCAACCAGAAAUUUUUUUAUAGAAAAACUGCAUAUUGAUUCAAAGUUUAAACAAAAAAAAUUUUCUCUUGAAUUGUUGAUUCCGUAGACUUUCGUAUAAUUUAUUCUUUCUUUUGUGUGUUGUUAUUGUGCCUUAUAUUUUGGAUUUUGAUGUCUGUUUUCUUAUUAAACGUCUAUGCAUUGUACGUGUUUGUGAAAAUGCGUGUAAGAAUUAUGUGAUUUGUUUUUGCAUGCUUAGAGUUCAUUGGAGUUUCUUUGCAUUCCAUUUGCUAGAAAAUGCCCAAUGCACGCCCCGGAGGGACAUUAACUAUUCAGACAAUUGCUGUUGUUGUGAGCUUGGAUACGAGUUUUUGCGUACAUAUAGAGGGUGGAUUGAUCAAGCAAAAGAUGGAAGGGAGAUAUGGCUACAUUUAAUGGUAUCCAAGUACAGGCUAAAUGGACUCUAGAUAGGCAAAGGCAGAAACAGAUGAUUCAAGUAAAAAUGCAACAAACGGCGAACUGUUACAAAUGGGACCCUUCGAAAAUGGACUUUCACUUUCAGACACCUUGGUCCACUCCGGCGAACUUUAGAGUGGGCCUUGAAAAUUUUGCUAUGAAGUGCAGAAAUGUCAAGGUGGAAUUUGAACGUAGACCAGAGGUUCCUGCAUUAUUUUAGUGAGAGAAGUAUACAAAAUUACUAGUACAAUGGAUGCGGAUGUAAGACCCAUCCAUCACGUGGAAUUGAAAAUUGGGUAGCGUUUGUUACUUGUUACACAUUUUUAAAACUAAAGUCGUGUCUUCCAUUGAAAAUUAUUCUGUAAGUUGUCAUGCCAUUCAAGAAAACUUAAUUAGCUAACUAUGACAUGUUUUUGAAGGUAAUGAGAAAAGUCUUCCAGGUGACGAGUAAGAUUGUAAUUGGUAUCUCCUCUGACCAU
Long non-coding RNA from Quercus lobata, 1205 nucleotides. RefSeq lists it as uncharacterized. The record is from RefSeq and is a predicted model, not a curated record. NCBI's taxonomy places the organism in Eukaryota, Viridiplantae, Streptophyta, Magnoliopsida, Fagales, Fagaceae. The transcript is spliced from 4 exons.